AUUGAACGCUGGCGGCAGGCCUAACACAUGCAAGUCGAGCGGAUGAAGGGAGCUUGCUCCUGGAUUCAGCGGCGGACGGGUGAGUAAUGCCUAGGAAUCUGCCUGGUAGUGGGGGAUAACGUCCGGAAACGGGCGCUAAUACCGCAUACGUCCUGAGGGAGAAAGUGGGGGAUCUUCGGACCUCACGCUAUCAGAUGAGCCUACGUCGGAUUAGCUAGUUGGUGGGGUAAAGGCCUACCAAGGCGACGAUCCGUAACUGGUCUGAGAGGAUGAUCAGUCACACUGGAACUGAAACACGGUCCAGACUCCUACGGGAGGCAGCAGUGGGGAAUAUUGGACGAUGGGCGAAAGCCUGAUCCAGCCAUGCCGCGUGUGUGAAGAAGGUCUUCGGAUUGUAAAGCACUUUAAGUUGGGAGGAAGGGCAGUAAGUUGAUACCUUGCUGUUUUGACGGUACCAACAGAAUAAGCACCGGCUAACUACGUG
This 484-nucleotide ribosomal RNA is filed under the name uncultured bacterium. Its description in RNAcentral is "partial 16S ribosomal RNA". It matches the Rfam family "Bacterial small subunit ribosomal RNA", at positions 30 to 507 of the family's 1533-position model. The record is from RNAcentral.